CGGUGUUUAACUGGCGUGAUGUGGGACGUCCUACCGGUGGGCUUAGCCUCGCGAGGGGCGGCCCAACUAAUAUCCCGUCGCGGUGCUCUUUACUGAGUGUCGAGUCGGGCCGGUACGUUUACUUUGAACAAAUUAGAGUGCUUAAAGCAGGCUAUCCUCGCCUGAAUACUGCGUGCAUGGAAUAAUGGAAUAGGACCUCGGUUCUAUUUUGUUGGUUUUCGGAACCCCGAGGUAAUGAUUAAUAGGGACAGAUGGGGGCAUUCGUAUUGCGACGUUAGAGGUGAAAUUCUUGGAUCGUCGCAAGACGGACAGAAGCGAAAGCAUUUGCCAAAAAUGUUUUCAUUAAUCAAGAACGAAAGUUAGAGGUUCGAAGGCGAUCAGAUACCGCCCUAGUUCUAACCAUAAACGAUGCCAGCUAGCGAUCCGCCGAAGUUCCCCCGAUGACUCGGCGGGCAGCUUCCGGGAAACCAAAGCUUUUGGGUUCCGGGGGAAGUAUGGUUGCAAAGCUGAAACUUAAAGGAAUUGACGGAAGGGCACCACCAGGAGUGGAGCCUGCGGCUUAAUUUGACUCAACACGGGAAACCUCACCAGGCCCAGACACCGGAAGGAUUGACAGGUUGAUAGCUCUUUCUUGAUUCGGUGGGUGGUGGUGCAUGGCCGUUCUUAGUUGGUGGAGCGAUUUGUCAGGUUAAUUCCGAUAACGAACGAGACUCUAGCCUGCUAAAUAGGCGUACCUUAUGGUAUCGCGAAGGCCCCCGGCUUCGGCCGGUGGGUUUUUACUACCAACGUACAAACAAAUCUUCUUAGAGGGACAGGCGG
RNAcentral lists this ribosomal RNA (819 nucleotides) under uncultured eukaryote. RNAcentral describes it as "SSU rRNA". It matches the Rfam family "Eukaryotic small subunit ribosomal RNA", at positions 629 to 1426 of the family's 1831-position model. The record is from RNAcentral.